CUAAAAUCUUCACUAGCAGUCUGUAGCCUUAUUUUUAUAGAAUUUCAUAUUGGAAUAUAAAAAACUUAGAAAUCUUAAUCAUACUAUGCAAAUCACUUCACUUUCAGUGAAUCCAAUGCAGCUUUAGAAAUAUUUGAUAACUAGUAUUAGACUUCCUCUUUCCUUACCAAGUUCCUCCUCCAUUAUAAUCUUUUUGUGGUGUUAGUCUUCCUCUCCUGCUAAGAUUUGUUUAUACUCACUUAUAUUUUUGUUGUACCCUACUGAUUCCCUCUUCAGAGUCUUGUGAGGAUUAUAGCAAGUUUCCACUCUUGCACUUCUAAUGCUAGUCUUCCAUUAAUAUUUUAUUGGGUGUAACAGCUAAUUACCAUUUGGAUAUUACAUGGAUGUUUGUUUACAUUAUGCUACUGACAUUUUGUCAUCUCAGAACUUUUGAAACUUGUUUCCAUGCUAGCCUAAUUCAAAUUUUAUUUUAGUAUCUGUUUCCUACAGUGUACUUUCAAGAACCACCUUUUUGGAGGUGGGCUGAAGAGGCAGUUAAAGAUGUGCUGAUGCUAAGUAUCUGGAUUGAUUGUGCUGAAGACUGGACUGUGUUCUAUGCAACAUGUACAUUACAGGCAAUGACCCUGCAAACUUUCUGAACAUGCCUCAAACCUGACCUGCAAGAGCUGCUUCUAGUGGAGAGAUCCUGAAACUGGAAAAGUGAGACUUACAACUCUCCCCCUCCUCCCCCAUUUAAAGUAAACUCCGUAUAAACACCAUGCUGAAACCUGCUGAAAGGGGGACCAAUAAGUCAGCUUUCAAGAGCCUGAAAUAAAAGUAUAGGAGAGAGAAACAAUUAUCUAGCAGCCCUGCAAAGAGAGGCAGACUGGUGUGGAGCUGGUUUGAGAAGAAAUUGACUGCUUUUGAGUCUCUGGUAAAGGAAAAUGCUGAAGAGAGGGGGAAUCUUCCUAUGUGUCAGAGCUCUCUGGUGAAGACCCCUUACGCCCGUCCCUCCAAAACAAACUAUCAGCCUUAUAAAUAUUUCUCAUGUCUGUCUUUGAAAUGCCAGCCAACAGAGCAUCCUCUGACAGGCUGACAAUGCUGAGCAUUUCUCCAGAGUCAGAUUUUGCAUUCAAAAGACCAACUCUAGGUGUGGGUGAAAAAUCCUUUUGAGGACCCUGGCCAAGCUGCUGCCAGCCAAAGGAAAGAAUGAGAUACAUUUAACAAAAUAAAUAAAGCCACUCAUUCUUUAUUAGUUGUAUUUUACAUUUAUUUUUUACUUUACUGGAUCUGUUGUGAUUGCACAAGGAACCUUUGUCAUGUUGUCAUUAGCUCUGUUAAGUGUAGCUAGUGCCAUAAAUGUUUACUACCCUUAAAGUCCCUUUAGAAGCUAAAAAUUGAGUUUGUUGCUAUUGUUCAAUAACUUUUGUUUUAAUAGACACCAAUUUUGAAUUUACAUCAAUCCAAACAGUGAUUCAGUAUGAAAAGAUCACUCACUCCUAGAGAAAGAGAAAGCUGGUCAAUAGGAUCCUUCUGACUACCGGGUCCAAAGAGGAAGGUGGGAAUGUGACGUUAGUAGCACUCACCUUACUGUCUUGCUGUCUGGAAGAGAACAAGGCACCAUAAUACUUUGGCGUAUGUAGAGCAAAAAGACAUCAGUAGCACUGAUGAAUAUGGAGUGUGGGAUAUAAAGCUGCCGCCUCCUCUAAAGAUCUGUUCCACUCUUGCAUGUUGGGCACAAAACAGAAAAAUAUAUCUGCAUGAUAGGAACCUACCUUCUUGGUGUCAUUGUGGGAAUACUGUAUCCCAGCUAUAUCCUUAAUUGUGCUGUCUCUUUUGUGCUAAAGUAUUAAAGGUAGACUGCAGAGCAAAAAUGAUUGUCAAGUGAGAGUUUAUCAUGUUUCUCUGUGAAGAGUAAAGUGUGACUGAUGGACAAAGUUGGUAUUUGAUUAUAGAAAAGUUAGGCAAUGAUGGCUGUUUGUAGUUCUAAUACCCCUAGAGGGCUGAUGACUAAACGGAAUAUUAGAUACUUGUAUCACUGGAAUUAGUAUCAAAAGGAAAAUCUAUUAUUACAACUCCAAAUAAAUGUGAGCUGAGACAGCAUGUUUUUUGCUAGAGCUUUGUAUUUAAAUAGCUCUAUCUUGGCUGACAGAACACCUGCAUCAGCUUGAUCCAUCAGAAAUGUAAAACAUUACCUCCUCACUACACACACUCUACCAUUUUUCAAUUCCUCUGCAGGGUGGGAAACAAAGCAGGUUCUGGAAUUACCCUCUGUCAUGUUCUAAGAAAUCCUUAUUUUAAAAUGGCAAAUAAGUUACUUAUCUCUAGCUUGCCAGCAGCAUUUAAUAGGUUUUAGCUGUAGAAGCUUUCAGUACCAAAUGAGUCUUCCCACAUAACUACAUAUCCCUUAUAUUGCAUAAUGUGAGAGCCAAAAUCUAAGAGUCAAUGAAUGAAUUAAAAAUAUAAAAAUAAAGGGGAUGGUUAAAAGCAGAAAAUAAUAUUCAGAAUCAAAAUUCAGUGUGGUCAUAAUACCAUGUAG
Molecule: long non-coding RNA, 2518 nt
Organism: Trachemys scripta elegans
Lineage: Eukaryota; Metazoa; Chordata; Testudines; Emydidae
Exons: 3
Source: RefSeq, a predicted model, not a curated record